RNAcentral lists this long non-coding RNA (227 nucleotides) under Malus domestica (apple). Its description in RNAcentral is "long non-coding RNA (MDOM_LNC020241)". Lineage: Eukaryota; Viridiplantae; Streptophyta; Magnoliopsida; Rosales; Rosaceae. The record is from RNAcentral.
UAAAGUUAAUUUCUGCAAUCUAAGUGAAUUCUAAUCUCAAUUUCAUUGCUUUGCUUACUAUUGCUUGAAGAACGUUUGUUUUUCCCUAUCAUUUCCUUGUUAACCAACACCCCAAGCCCCAUUACAACCUUAACUUCUAUCUUGAGUGUUAGGUGUUUCAAUUUGUGGAGUUUGAAUUUGGUAUGAGCAUAUGGUGUCACUGGUUCUCGCAUCUAAGUAGUAGCAUU